AGCGAACGCUGGCGGCAGGCCUAACACAUGCAAGUCGAACGAACCUUUCGGGGUUAGUGGCGGACGGGUGAGUAACACGUGGGAACGUGCCUUUAGGUUCGGAAUAACUCAGGGAAACUUGUGCUAAUACCGAAUGUGCCCUUCGGGGGGAAAGAUUUAUCGCCUUUAGAGCGGCCCGCGUCUGAUUAGCUAGUUGGUUGAGGUAAUGGCUCACCAAGGCGACGAUCAGUAGCUGGUCUGAGAGGAUGAUCAGCCACAUUGGGACUGAGACACGGCCCAAACUCCUACGGGAGGCAGCAGUGGGGAAUCUUGCGCAAUGGGCGAAAGCCUGACGCAGCCAUGCCGCGUGAAUGAUGAAGGUCUUAGGAUUGUAAAAUUCUUUCACCGGGGACGAUAAUGACGGUACCCGGAGAAGAAGCCCCGGCUAACUUCGUG
Molecule: ribosomal RNA, 435 nt
Filed under: uncultured bacterium
Lineage: Bacteria
Description: partial 16S ribosomal RNA
Rfam family: Bacterial small subunit ribosomal RNA
Source: RNAcentral